RNA transcript from Mandrillus leucophaeus (drill), 1292 nucleotides. It is a transcript of the gene named ADP-ribosylation factor-like 13A, with no coding region annotated. The transcript is spliced from 9 exons. The record is from RefSeq and is a predicted model, not a curated record. NCBI's taxonomy places the organism in Eukaryota, Metazoa, Chordata, Mammalia, Primates, Cercopithecidae.
GACAAGAAGGCUAGAAAGCUCAAUGCAUCUUCCUAUUACUCUGCAUAUCUUAUGUCUUCCAUCCAAAAAGAAUCAACUUAUCAGAUAAAUAACCACCUCAUGAACUAAGAUGAAUCAUGUUCCGGCUUUUGACCUCCUGCUGCUCUUGGCUAAAGACAACAGAAGAGACACGAAGGAAUGUGACCAUCCCUAUCAUUGGCUUGAACAACUCAGGCAAAACUGUUCUUGUGGAGGCAUUCCAAAAAUUACUUCCCAGUAAGACAGACCAUUGUAUGAAAUCGGAACUGACUACACUUUUGUUAGAUGAGUAUGAACUUUCCAUCUACGACCUGAAUGGAGAUCUGAAGGGCCGGGAAGCAUGGCCAAACUACUAUGCACAGGCCCAUGGGCUUGUUUUCGUCCUGGAUUCCAGUGACAUAAGACGCAUGCAGGAAGUGAAGAUCAUCUUAACACAUCUGCUGUCUGAUAAAAGAGUGGCAGGGAAACCCAUCUUACUCUUAGCAAACAAACAAGACAAGAAGAAAGCCCUCAUGCCUUGUGAUAUUAUUGACUAUCUACUUCUAAAGAAGCUAGUGAAAGAGAAUAAGUGCCCAUGCCGAGUGGAGCCAUGUUCAGCCAUCAGAAACCUUGAAAGAAGAAACCAUCAGCCCAUAGUUGAAGGACUGCGCUGGCUAUUAGCUGUCAUUAAUACCUGCCAACUACCACCUACCUCGAGCAUCUCAAUCUCCAAGAAUAACACAGGCUCUGGAGAAAGAUGCUCAUCACACAGCUUAUCCACCAGAACAGGAAUGUCAAAGGAGAAAAGACAGCAUCUAGAACAACGCCCAACAGAAGCUAAGCCUCUAAAGUCAAUCCUACAGAAAGAAGGUACAAGAUUACGGCCUAAAAAGAAUAUGUCAGUAACAUUUGCUUUAGAUGAACCCAUGAAAGAAGGUGAAUGUUCUAGGAGAACUAGAGUUUAGAACACUACGAAGUUUCACUACAAUUGAAGGAGUGACUUAUAGACUCCAGCUCCAUACGUUGAUGACAAUAUUUUUGAAGCCAUCAAACCAGUCCUAUACUCACUGAGAGGCUCAAGAAGAGUGAGAUGGCAUCCACUGAGAAUGAAGACCACCUUGGUAAAAAAGAACAGAGACUUUACAUCUUUGUACCCAGAUGCUGCUGACAAAGCUUGUGGACAAUAAGUCAUGGGUGAUCAACCAAAAUUGAGCCUUAGAAAUACAUAUUUUUUUCUUUAAGGUUCUUGGGCAGAAAAGGAUUGGCAAAAAUAAACAGAACUCCUUUGCUGAGAA